CCCGGUGAAAGGCAACCUGGGUUUACUCACAGGCGGCCAAGUCUAGGGCCUCGCUUCUCCGAGCCUCAGUUUCUUCGUCUGUGUGUGUGAUUCCUAGGAGAUACCCACUGUACAGAGCCGGAAACUGAAUCUCCAAGUGAUUUCUGAAGGUCAAGUAGCUGGAGGAUAGCAGCCGGGCAAUAUACAGAUGAUCCUGGAGAAACCUACCUCCUCAGGCAAGAC
Long non-coding RNA from Urocitellus parryii (Arctic ground squirrel), 222 nucleotides. RefSeq lists it as uncharacterized. NCBI's taxonomy places the organism in Eukaryota, Metazoa, Chordata, Mammalia, Rodentia, Sciuridae. The record is from RefSeq and is a predicted model, not a curated record.